UGCCUGUCUGUCUGCCUGUCUGUCUGUCUGUGUGUGUCUGUCUGUCUGUCUGUCUGUCUGUCUGUCUGUCUGUGUGUCUGUCUGCCUGUCUGUCUGCCUGUCUGUCUGUCUAACUCCAUCACCAAACAUUGGUUGAGUUUAAUGAUGCGUCUGCUGAUCAAACUGAUCAGUGACACUGGAUCUGGUCCUAACAGGACAAAGAACUUUGAAUCACAUACGUCUGAGAUUCAGUGUCUCAUCAAACCACGUGACAGAACCCGUGAACAGCCACGUUACUCCAGUAUUUCAUUUUAUUUUGUAAUUAAUUGGCAAAUUAGAUCCUCAGAAAAGAAUCUGAAGGUUUUUCUGAAACUGGUCUGAGUGCAGCUCGUGUCAGCUGAUCCUGAAACAGAAACACUGAUCCAGCUGUGAAGGACAAACACCAGCAGGACGUCGGCCUGGUCCUUCCUCUGAGGGACGGAGGAAAUCUGCAGGAAAGAACGGAGCGGUGAGUGAAACACUACAUGGAGAAAGCACAACAUCAACUUUGUGUUGUUUCUUUACACGUUUUCUUCGCUCUGAAGAAAAUACAAAACGGUUUAGAAAGAGACGGGAAUAUUUGAGUUUGAGUCUGAGAUUCCUCCACGCUGAGCUUUCACCAGACAUUUGUCACGAUCAUUAACGAUAAUUCAGGUUUGGUUUCAGUUUUCACAGAAAAGCAACGUAAGUCAGAGAAGGUGAAACCUCUGAAACUACCGACUGAAUCCUUGUCUGAAAACUUGUCUCUUUGGAAACACGAACAUGGUUUUACUCUCUGGUUCCGAGGCCAGCUCCCAGCUUGUUUAUUUAUUUUUUUUAUUUAAGAUUGAUUGUGCAGCUCUAACUGCUGCCUUCCUAAAUUUCCAUUUGUUUUCAGAGCUUUUAAAAACGUUUUAUGAGUUAGCGAUUUUCACGAACAUGAUUAAACAGGAAACGGAAACGUGAACAGUGUCUGGUGAAAAAGAACCGAUGGAAAUUCAUCGCGUCGUCAGUUUAUUUCAUCUUGUUUUUCCUGUGGUUCCAGUUUCACAGUCUGAGCUGAACUUCACAGCAUUUCGUGUCAUUUGUCUUGGUUUUCUGUGAAGAUGUCACCGCGCAACACGUUAACGAUGCUAACAGAAACAAAGCCACAGUGUUGAAUUACGAAGGGACGCUUACCUGGAUGCAGUGUGACCGUGCACACGCAUUCAGAGUAACUCUGGGUUUUUCCUGUGAAACUCAGUCAUUACUUGAAUUGUUUUCUGUCCAGUUUGAGCCAAAAUGGCAGCCGAGCUGCGGCGAAACGAUUGGUUGGUAAAAGAUUUAUGCAACAACCUCAUUGUCUGUGUUCCACGGCCUGCACGUCUGUGUAGAGCUGGACUGAAUCCGUGUGUUACAGUUAUAUGUCUGUUAAUAAUAUGUUUGCAUAUUUAAUGAACGCUCGACUCGACGGGCUCUGUGGCUCCGUGGCUCCGUGUUUCACAGAAAACAGUUUUUUUCUGAGGAGAUCGGAAAAGUUUGAAUGUUUGUUUUUUUAUCCACUAAAACUAAUGUUUAUCUCCAAACAGACGUGUUGUCAGUGUUGACGAGCAAAGGCUUCUUGUCUGUAUUUUAACAUUUAAACACAUAAUGUUGUGACUGAUGCUGUAACACUCUGCAGUGGCUUUAUUCCAGAGGGUCAUUCCUGUGUUUUAACACGGUGCUUGUACAUAAAAAUGCUGCAUUAUUGUCAGUGAGUUAGUUUUUCUUGUGUACUUGGAAAAUCACUUGUUCAAUUCAAACAGUUUUAGAGGAUUUAAGUUGAUGUGAGUAGAUUAGCUAACCAGUGUGAAUGGCAGCAGUGUUGGCCAGUGCUACCUGAGCUUACUGAUUAGCUCACACAGUUUGUUCAGGCCUGUAGCUGUGAACACAGCUGCUGCUACAAAGGUGAAGGCCAGAGGCUAGUUAGCAAGCUAGCAGGCUGUUAGCUAGUUGAUGAGUGAAGAAGGAACACAAAAACUUAGCUAAUCACAGGUAAGUUAGCUAGCUAGUGACAGAACUGGACAAACUAGAACAGGCAGGUUAGCUUGCUAAUGGCUAAAUAAGUUAGCGCGUCCUUAGCUGCAUCAGGAAAACUCAGAGAUCAGAAGCAGUUUUUUUGUUUGCAGCCUUCUGGUCAUUAACUUUCAUUCAUUCAUCAGCGAAACACGAAACUGUAAAAACGCUGUAAAAACCUUUCACUGGAAUAAAGCCAAUGUUUGUGUUACUGUCACAUAAUUAACAUCUGUACAGUUGUUACAGGUUUUUAAUGUUUUGACCACUAAUGCAGCAGAAGCAGCGUCAUGUUACCUUCAGCUAACGGUUAGCCUGCUACUUUAUACGCCACCACGCUUGACAAAGAUGCAGCUGUGACUGAAGUUUACCACAUAAGCAACUUAAAUAGCAAAUACUCGUUCUUUCUGUUCAUGUGUGAAAAUGUACAUGUGUAAAUGAAGUGAGUUAGUUUUCCUGAGAAAAACAGAACAGAUGCCUUGAGACAUACAGGAAGUACAACUCUUAUCAAUGCAACAGGAGGGACAGACAGUUUGGGUCUCACCUGAGAAGUGCUUUUCUAUCAGACAUUUGACCACUUGAGGGACGAGUUUCAACACUUCGAUGUCCUCUCCUUCAUCAUCAUGACAGAAAAAGUUUUUUUUUGUUUCCCAGUUCACAAUUUGAUAACAGAAAUACUAAUGACAGCAAAACGUAAAGCAGAAAGGGUCAGAAAUAAUCCACUACACUGUUUUUCCUUGUUCUUUCCAACUGUUAACUAUCAAAUAAAGGAAAAAAUGCCUUUUACGAUUAACUUAGAAUAAAAGCUGCUAAAACGAUUGUUUUUCUGAGUGAAGUCUGGUGAGUCCAGAGAGGACAGCCCUGCACGCAGAUGAAACUCGUCCCUGCUGUUAAAAACCUUUCAUUGCCUUCUUUCUUCCUUCCAUCAGCUCUGAACAUUCAAGAAUUUCGAUGUGAAAAACUCUAAGUGCAUUUAUCUGAAUGAAGAUCUGUCAUUUGUAAAGAAUCCUAGUUUUUCAUUUUGGUUGGUACUAAACGUUUAACAUUAAAACUUAUCUGGUUUGAUUUCAUGGAGACAUCUGCUGAGUUUCUGUUGUAACAAAGCAGCAGAACAACACUUUACUUUUCACUGUGUGAAGAAGAAUAACCAACGAAACAGGAAGGAAAUCGUCUCAUCACGAGGCCGAGAGGAAAACAUGGCUGCAGGAAAUCUGAAAAAUCACACAGGUAUUUCAUGGCUUCCUCUCUUUGAAUUUUGUUUUCAAAGGGUUGAAAGUACAAAGAUUCUGGUUUUGGUUUGGUUUAAAAAAACCACAUGUGAGAUUCAGAGUCUUCUAAUUAAUAUCUGUUGUUUUAAUUAGAAAAUACAGAAGUCAGUGUUGUUUGCUGGUGAGAUGAAACUCUGUAAUUCUGACGUCUCUUCUCAUACAAGACAAAGACGUCGUGAAUCUGAUGAAAGUAUGAAUUUGAAAUUGUUAAAUGCAGUUUACAGGUAACGUCUGACUUCUUUGUCUUCAGUGUUUGUGUGUUUCACAGCUUCUUACAUCAACACUGCGACUCCACAGUCUCUGUUUUCACAUUUUAACUCGUCCGGCUCUGAUUCCUGAGAAAAACAUCUGAUGAAGUCUGAGCUUGACAUUUCUCAGCUCCUCUUCUUCUUCCUCCUCAUCCUCCUAUUUUUUCCAAGUGUAUUUGGCAGGUGUGUUUCCGCUCAGGUGGCAGGAACGAAGGAUUCCAAGUGUGACAUUUUUCUCGUCCUGGGGAAACGAUCACGAGCGACAGAAACAAAUGAGCUGAGUUUUGUUCAGUGAAGUGUGAACAGAUCAGUGGACAAAGAGCUGAAUCCUGCUCAGAGAACACAUCACCUGUUUAAAUUCAAUGUGAUUUUAAAUCAGGGAUCUGAAUCUUCCAGGAGUUUUUGAUCGACUCCAGAGGAGAAAUCCUCAGAGCCAGGACUGAACCUGUGGAUCAGCAGCAGAAGGAGAAGUUCCAGCAGAACCAGAGCAACUGCAGGGAUUUUAUCUUUUAUCUCCUUCACUUUGUUUCCACGACAGAUUUAAAAUCUACAGCAGCUUCAAACAGAGGAAACAGAGACUUUAGGUCUUAUUCUCACUCAUUUUAAGGCAAUAAGUCAUUAAUACAAAAAGACUCUGAGACAAUGAGUCAGCAGUUUGACUCAUAUCAGGAUUAAAAGAGAUUUGAUUAGUUUUAAAAACAAUCAUAAAUAUGACAUGAAACAUGUGACUUCAAAGUUUUAGAUCAUAAAGACUAAUAAUUCAAAAGUCUUCAAUCAAAACACAGACACAAGAUAAUAAAUCAAAGUUAUGAGCUGCAAAGUCAUCAAGUGGCUGAUUUGUGAGAUAUUUGACUUAAGUCCAAAUUAUCGAACGUUAAAUUAUAAAUAAGAUUAUUAAUCAUUAAUCCAAAUUAACGUUUAUAAACAUACAGAUAUACACUGUUUAAAAAGAGGACGUUUAUUAGACUUAUUUUCUCCAUUCAUUAAAACCCUGCUGGGAAACAAAAAUCGGUGGAAAUCUGGUGGGAGUUUGGUACUGACGUUACCUCCUGCACACGCUGGUCUCUGCUGACGUCCUGGUUCAAACUUCAGUUUCAUCUGCAGUGAAGCUGAUUAUUGUAAAAGGAUCGGUUUCACCAGAGGACGCCUCGUCACCACAACAGGAACGUUGUAACGUCGUGCAGCAGCGUGAGAGUGCGGCUUUGGACCGUGGACCGGCCGGAGAGCAGAGGGUCGCCGGUUUGAUUCCUCGACCAAGCACAAUGGAUAUGGGUGGUGGUGAAGGAGACCCCCCUAAGAUCAUUAUUACUGGAGGAGAUGUAGACUCACUCCAGCCAACACCUGCAGUAACAUGAGCUCCUGUGGUGAAACUGGUCCCAUCAGUCAUUCAGCUCAGUAAAACAGAUCUUCCUCCAGUCCUCCUCCCUCUUUAGGAAGUGAAACGCUGUGACUAACGGCCUCAUUAACAGGUUAAUCAAUCAUUUAUUAAAGCUGUACUGAUCAGUUAGAAACCAUCAAUAAGAAAAACCUUUGGGUCGUCAGGUUAGUUCAUCAGAUCAUCAGCAGAAGCAUCUGGAUCAAAUCUGAGACCCGACAGACCCACGGACCCGAUGGACCCACGGACCUGAUGGACCCACGGACCCGAUGGAUCUUUGUCCCUUUGUCCCACUUCUUCUGAUGGGCUGAAUUAUUUUAUCAUUCUCUGAGUCUGUGAAGGUCAAACACGUUUUCACUGUUUUUCUUUAAACAGAAGUUUCAGAUUUUUCAGAUAAAUCAGUUCAGCUCUGCACAGCCUACAGAUUUAUCUCAUUAAUGGUUGGUAACUGUUCACUUAAACAUCAGUAAAUGAUUUUUCUAGACACUUAAGACAUGAGUUAUAUUUUAUAAACCUUUUACAAAGA
Molecule: long non-coding RNA, 5445 nt
Organism: Toxotes jaculatrix (banded archerfish)
Lineage: Eukaryota; Metazoa; Chordata; Actinopteri; Toxotidae
Exons: 2
Source: RefSeq, a predicted model, not a curated record